GCGGGGCCCGCACAAGCGGUGGAGUAUGUGGUUUAAUUCGAUGCAACGCGAAGAACCUUACCUGGUCUUGACAUCCCGGAGACCCUUAGGAAACUAGGGGGUGCUUCCAUCUGGAAGAAUCUGGAGACAGGUGCUGCAUGGCUGUCGUCAGCUCGUGUCGUGAGAUGUUGGGUUAAGUCCCGCAACGAGCGCAACCCUUGCCUUUAGUUGCCAGCAGUUCGGCUGGGCACUCUAAAGGGACUGCCGGUGUUAAACCGGAGGAAGGUGGGGAUGACGUCAAGUCCUCAUGGCCUUUAUGACCAGGGCUACACACGUACUACAAUGGCCGAUACAAAGGGCAGCGACACUGCGAGGUGAAGCCAAUCCCGUAAAAUCGGUCUCAGUCCGGAUUGGAGUCUGCAACUCGACUCCAUGAAGUUGGAAUCGCUAGUAAUCGUGGAUCAGCAUGCCACGGUGAAUACGUUCCCGGGCCUU
RNAcentral lists this ribosomal RNA (474 nucleotides) under uncultured Desulfobulbus sp. RNAcentral's name for it is "bacterial SSU rRNA". It matches the Rfam family "Bacterial small subunit ribosomal RNA", at positions 916 to 1381 of the family's 1533-position model. The record is from RNAcentral. Lineage: Bacteria; Pseudomonadati; Thermodesulfobacteriota; Desulfobulbia; Desulfobulbales; Desulfobulbaceae.